This 278-nucleotide ribosomal RNA is filed under the name uncultured bacterium. RNAcentral describes it as "partial 16S ribosomal RNA". The record is from RNAcentral.
UGGCGAGAGUAAUGGCGACUUCACCGAUUGACGGCACGUAGCUUUCCCAGUGCCGCACGCGCAGGCCGAUCACGGCGACAUUCAGGCGGUGGAGUAAUAUGCCGCCGAUGAUCAGAGCGCAUGCCCAGGCCAGGCCGCGCCGGCUUCCCCGCACUUCGGGCGUCAGCAGCAGAACAAACGGAAUCAUCAGGCCGAAAACGAUCUCGACCCAGAACGAGACUGCAAACCAAGAUGAGAUGAACAUGGCAUCAGCGGCGCCGCGAUAAAAAAGAUCGCCC